GACAGCAUAGUGCAGUGGUUUGUGUGUUGGACUGGUAUGCUGGAAGACCAGGAUUCAAAUCCCUGCUCUGUCU
This is a non-coding RNA of Phrynosoma platyrhinos (Desert horned lizard), 73 nucleotides long. The record is from the annotation of a GenBank genome assembly. Lineage: Eukaryota; Metazoa; Chordata; Lepidosauria; Squamata; Phrynosomatidae.